CCUACGGGAGGCAGCAGUGAGGAAUAUUGGUCAAUGGACGAGAGUCUGAACCAGCCAAGUAGCGUGAAGGAUGACUGUCCUAUGGGUUGUAAACGUCUGUUAUAAAGGAAUAAAACGAGGCAAGUGGGCCUUUUUGCAUGUACUUUAUGAAUAAGGAUCGGCUAACUCCGUGCCAGCAGCCGCGGUAAUACGGAGGAUCCGAGCGUUAUCCGGGUUUAUUGGGUUUAAAGGGAGCGUAGAUGGGUUGUUAAGUCAGUUGUGAAAGUUUGCGGCUCAACCGUAAAAUUGCAAUUGAUACUGGCAUUCUUGAGUCCAGUUGAGGUAGGCGGACUUCGUGGUGUAGCGGUGCACUGCUUAGCUCUCACG
Molecule: ribosomal RNA, 366 nt
Filed under: uncultured bacterium
Lineage: Bacteria
Description: partial 16S ribosomal RNA
Rfam family: Bacterial small subunit ribosomal RNA
Source: RNAcentral